Molecule: ribosomal RNA, 468 nt
Filed under: uncultured bacterium
Lineage: Bacteria
Description: partial 16S ribosomal RNA
Rfam family: Bacterial small subunit ribosomal RNA
Source: RNAcentral
GACGAACGCUGGCGGCGUGCUUAACACAUGCAAGUCGAACGGAAAGGCCCUGCUUUUGUGGGGUGCUCGAGUUGCGAACGGGUGAGUAACACGUGAGUAACCUGCCCUUGACUUUGGGAUAACUUCAGGAAACUGGGGCUAAUACCGGAUAAGAUCUCCUGCUGCUUGGUGGGGGUUGGAAAGUUUCGGCGGUUGGGGAUGGACUCGCGGCGUAUCAGCUUGUUGGUGGGGUAGUGGCUUACCAAGGCUUUGACGGGUAGCCGGCCUGAGAGGGUGACCGGCCACAUUGGGACUGAGAUACGGCCCAGACUCCUACGGGAGGCAGCAGUGGGGAAUAUUGCACAAUGGGCGGAAGCCUGAUGCAGCAACGCCGCGUGCGGGAUGACGGCCUUCGGGUUGUAAACCGCUUUCGCCUGUGACGAAGCGUGAGUGACGGUAAUGGGUAAAGAAGCACCGGCUAACUACGUG